CGAAUCGCAAGGUUAGAAUCGCGAACGAGGAAGCGAGAAUCCAGGGUUAAUAACGUCGAAUAUGGUGAUUCCUGAACGGUGGAUCGGCGGUGGAUCGUUAAUGGAAGAAGGCCCGUCGUGAUUUCAAUCAGCCUGACCUCCGAUUUCCAACUUCCCUGUACGUGAUUCGGUCGUCACGGCUUCGUGACUCCAGCGAAUCGAUUUAUCCGCGCCUUCCACACUCAUCUUCGCACGUUUCGAAGAAUGUGCACAACUCGGAAAAGGGAAACGCGUUUGCUGAAGAACAUGCUUUAAUAUCUCCUUAUCAAACAAAUUGAGCCCGUUUCGAUCGAAGGGACGACAGCGGGGGAGGAGGAGAGGAAGAGGAGUGAUUUAACGAGGUGGCUGGCAUGCCAGCGCGACCUCCGGGCUCGGCUUCCCGGUACGUGAGUCAGGAUCGCAGGAAUCGGGCGCGAGGAUGAGCGCAAAGAUAUCCCUGGCGAGCCGCGGCACGGCACAGUCGCCGGUCAACCAUCGUGGCAAAUCAUCGUCGGGGCUGCUGCUCGCCGGGAAGUCUGUGAAGAGGCCUUCGUCGAUGAGUAAGUCAGCCGUACUCGAUGCUCUCCACG
Apis florea (little honeybee) is the source of this 608-nucleotide long non-coding RNA. The record is from RefSeq and is a predicted model, not a curated record. NCBI's taxonomy places the organism in Eukaryota, Metazoa, Arthropoda, Insecta, Hymenoptera, Apidae.